AAGAGAGGAUGAUGGCUUUCUGUGGGAUAUGUUUAUAAUCAGAGAAACUGAUUUGAGAUAAAAUUGGACUGGCCUCAAUCAUAGAGUUAACAACAUCGACCUAACAAGAAACUAUUGCUUCAAUGGAUCUAUGCCAUGCAUAAUUGCACAUGCCAUGUUUUCUCCUCCUCCUUUAAACAGGGUACCUCAAAGGACAAUGUUCAAAGAUCUGAAAAAGCGGGAGCUCCUAAGGUGCCUGCGAAACAUUAAUGAAACAAUCAUGAAAAUGUUACAAUGCAUGUGCUGCAGUGGCCCAUGAACAGCAUGUACAGUACUUAGAAUAAACCCCAUAGGUUGGAACAUUCGAAUUCAUUCAGAUUUAACAUUUGGCCUAGUCAACAGUCCAAUCCAUGUAAUCUUAAAGGAAAUAAUAAAGAAAGUCUUGAUUCUUGACCUCAAACAUCUAUUUCGAUCCCAGUAAAAAAAAAAACAAAUCAUUGCUGUUCUAAGGCAUUUGUCAAACUUCCCAGCCUCAACAGAAGGUUAGAAAAUUCAAUUUCGUGUAUGCACUAGUUGAGUGAUUUAUACCUUAUUGGAGAUCAAACUUGAUUUAUAAUCUACCCAAAUUAAUAUAAGGUCCUCUAUAAGAAGGUAUACCCUUUUCAGUGGAGGAUCGAGUUCGAGUUCAGUAUUUGAAGCCCUUUCCAUCGGAAGAAAAAGUACUAGUUUAUUUUGUACGAAAGAAACUAUUAUGACUCGAACUUAACCUCUAGCG
This 754-nucleotide long non-coding RNA is filed under the name Theobroma cacao (cacao). RNAcentral's name for it is "long non-coding RNA (TCAC_LNC000608)". The record is from RNAcentral. Lineage: Eukaryota; Viridiplantae; Streptophyta; Magnoliopsida; Malvales; Malvaceae.